CUAAUACUCCCUCCGUCUGAAAUUACUUGUCCCAGAAAUGGAUGUAUCUAGACAUAUUUUAUAUCUAGAUACAUCCAUUUUUAUCCAUUUCCGCGACAAGUAAUUCGGGACAGAGUGAAUAUCAA
Molecule: non-coding RNA, 125 nt
Organism: Triticum urartu
Lineage: Eukaryota; Viridiplantae; Streptophyta; Magnoliopsida; Poales; Poaceae
Source: Rfam